This 497-nucleotide ribosomal RNA is filed under the name uncultured bacterium. RNAcentral's name for it is "partial 16S ribosomal RNA". It matches the Rfam family "Bacterial small subunit ribosomal RNA", at positions 28 to 507 of the family's 1533-position model. The record is from RNAcentral.
GAUGAACGCUGGCGGCGUGCCUAAUACAUGCAAGUCGAGCGAACAGACGAGGAGCUUGCUCCUCUGACGUUAGCGGCGGACGGGUGAGUAACACGUGGAUAACCUACCUAUAAGACUGGGAUAACUUCGGGAAACCGGAGCUAAUACCGGAUAAUAUAUUGAACCGCAUGGUUCAAUAGUGAAAGACGGUUUUGCUGUCACUUAUUGAUGGAUCCGCGCCGCAUUAGCUAGUUGGUAAGGUAACGGCUUACCAAGGCAACGAUGCGUAGCCGACCUGAGAGGGUGAUCGGCCACACUGGAACUGAGACACGGUUCAGACUCCUACGGGAGGCAGCAGUAGGGAAUCUUCCGCAAUGGGCGAAAGCCUGACGGAGCAACGCCGCGUGAGUGAUGAAGGUCUUCGGAUCGUAAAACUCUGUUAUUAGGGAAGAACAAAUGUGUAAGUAACUAUGCACGUCUUGACGGUACCUAAUCAGAAAGCCACGGCUAACUACGUG